RNAcentral lists this ribosomal RNA (402 nucleotides) under bacterium. RNAcentral's name for it is "partial 16S ribosomal RNA". It matches the Rfam family "Bacterial small subunit ribosomal RNA", at positions 355 to 776 of the family's 1533-position model. The record is from RNAcentral.
UGGGGAAUUUUGCACAAUUGGGGAAACCCUGAUGCAGCGACGCCGCGUGAUUUAGAAGGCCUUCGGGUUGUAAAAAUCUUUUCUAUGGGAAGAAAAUGACAGUACCAUAGGAAUAAGGACCGGCUAAUUACGUGCCAGCAGCCGCGGUAAUACGUAAGGUCCGAGCGUUGUCCGGAAUCAUUGGGCGUAAAGGGUACGUAGGCGGGUAAGCAAGUUAGAAGUGAAAUCCUAUAGCUCAACUAUAGUAAGCUUUUAAAACUGCUCAUCUUGAGGUAUGGAAGGGAAAGUGGAAUUCCUAGUGUAGCGGUGAAAUGCGCAGAUAUUAGGAGGACUACCGGUGGCGAAGGCGACUUUCUGGCCAUAACCUGACGCUGAGGUACGAAAGCGUGGGUAGCAAACAGG